This 205-nucleotide ribosomal RNA is filed under the name uncultured bacterium. Its description in RNAcentral is "partial 16S ribosomal RNA". It matches the Rfam family "Bacterial small subunit ribosomal RNA", at positions 568 to 774 of the family's 1533-position model. The record is from RNAcentral.
CGCGUAGGCGGCCACCGCAAGUCGACUGUGAAAUCUCCGGGCUUAACUCGGAAAGGUCAGCCGAUACUGCGGGGCUAGAGUGCAGAAGGGGCAACUGGAAUUCCACGUGUAGCAGUGAAAUGCGUAGAGAUGUGGAGGAACACCGAUGGCGAAGGCAGCCCCUGGGUCAACACUGACGCUCAGGCACGAAAGCUGGGAGCAAACA